CAGCACGCGCUAUUCUUCUCACCACUUUUGUUAUCAUAGGUAUAUGAAUAAUGUAGCAUUCAUACAAAGCACAAGCCACUCGCUUUUCAGUUCACUGGUCUGCAAUGCACCGGCAGCACCGUAAGACGAGGAAUAUCACAGCCAAUCUGCAUACCACUUCCAGAAAACGCCAUCAAGAAUCAGACCAGAGCCAUCAUGCAUGUCUUGCCAUGCCAUGUCAUGCCAUGAUGCCCAUGGCUGUGAUCGGAGCGAUCCGCACACUAUGUUCAACUCCUCCUCCCCCAUCUUCAGACAACAGCUACCCUUCAUACGGCCUGCAGACCGAGCGUCCGGUCCAUCCACCUGAUGAUGUCGGCGGCGAUCUCGUCGCGCUCGGGUUCGAAGAGCAGGUCGUGCAGGAACCCCUCGUACAGCCGCAGGUCCUUGUGCCUCGACGCCGCCUCCCUGUAGAGCUCCUGCGAGGCCAGCGGGUCCGUCACCCGGUCCGCCGUGCCGUGCAGGACUACAAACGGGACAGUCACCUUCUUCAGGUUGUGCAGCAGGUAGGAGGAGAUGCGCAGGAUCUCGUGGCCCGUACGGACCCUGAUCGGCCCCGUGUAGACCAGCGGGUCAGAGUACUUUGCUAGCAGCGCCGCAGGGUCGCGGGACACCGGGAUGCCCCGCUUGUUGGCUCCCUUGAAUUGGAACUUGGGUGCAAUCAGAGAGAAUAUCGGUGCCACUGCCUGCAUUUGAUUCAGAUGAGUCUCAGUGAUGAAACACGACUUGCCAUGCAGGUAAACCAAAAAUAUAUCGCGAAUUUUGAAGUUUUAAAUUUUGUGGAUGAAUUCAAAAGCAGAGCUUCUGAAAUAGCUCUACUUUUGAUAUGAGCGUACAAUAUCAAAAGUUCUCAAAUCAGCAUAAUUUGGAAUAAUAAUAGGAAACCAGAAUAGUUCUAUUACCCCGACUAUCGGAUGCGCUGGUUUUACACGCACAGCUGGUGAAGUCAGGAUGAUCCCUUCCAGUCUGGUUCUGAUAUGGGCGUACAGCGACGCCUGCAAGAUGACAGCUAGUGAUGAGCAACCAUGAAACAAGUAAGUUAAGCGUUGUUAAAUGAGCAUCGUUAGCCAAACCAUUUCAACCAGGCUAUUUUGUUAAUGCUUUGCACCACUCUCCGCCGUCAGGGUAUCCAUUGUUCACAGGCCCAGAGGAGUAGGGUCAGUGUCUAGAUCUGGCCUAAAUACCGAUGACAAAAAAGCGAUUUAAUUCGACAGGCCAUACCUUCAAAACAACAGCUCCACCAGUGGAGUGGCCGAGUAGAAAACAAGGAACAUCUGGAUUCUCCAGCAUAAUUUUAUCAAGAAGUACUUCCUGCUCAGAGAUGAUAAUAUUGCAUUACAUCAGCCAUCAGGAACAGUAGCAAGGAAAAAAAUAGUGUGCUAUACAAAACAACGUCGACCUUAAAAAUAUGCUAUUACCGUGUUAUAGCAUUGCCAUUAGCAAGAUAUUGUACACUGAUCAAUUUAGCGACACAAUUCUCUACACAUUAUACCGUGCUAUUAGCGGCGCUAUAUCGUGCUAUUUUUUUCAGUGAACAGAAUAGCUUUGUGCCUUCUAUGGAAAAACCUUGAACAGGAUGUAGAAGUAGGUGGACAGACAGAGACUUACCAUGUCUUUUAUAACAUAGUCCAGAGAAGGAACAUAACCGUGCAGACCAUCACUCCCACCAUGACCUGUUAUGCAGAAGCUCAAGUUAGCCUGUUGAUGUUGAAACGAAUGCAAAAUUCAGUAGGCAUGCUCACACCUCACAGGAACAAAGAGACUGAAAACCAUGGAUAAUUUUCUCGAAGCACUGCUAGAUUCAUGGGAAUGAGUUGCAAGGUAAGAAUCCACAACUAUGCGGGUACAGCAUGACAACCUUAGCAUCGUUGCUUAUAUUUUACUACCUCCUAUAAAAAAAACUACUAUCUGGUUCUAAAUGUUUGUCAUAAUAUUACCAAUACCAGAUAGCUAGCUAACACCUAGUUAGCUUGAUACCUACAUGAUCCACACACACACACACAAAAAAAAAAAAAAAAAAAAAAAANNNN
Molecule: long non-coding RNA, 2066 nt
Filed under: Hordeum vulgare
Lineage: Eukaryota; Viridiplantae; Streptophyta; Magnoliopsida; Poales; Poaceae
Description: long non-coding RNA (HVUL_LNC006745)
Source: RNAcentral